UCUGGUGGUGCUGACUGCAUUUUCCGUUUGCAGACUUGCUGGUGUGAGUCCCACGGGGAAAACAAAAUUGCUGAUCUAUUUCCUCUGAUGGGUUUGCUUCCUUUAGAAGGGGUCCGAAUAAAGCUCGGCGUAGAUCCCUGCUUGUUCCUGCCCUCUUGGGAAAACUGAAUGUGUAAAUCUUCACUGUCCUUACUGAUCAAGGCCAAAUCACAGAUUUCAGUUACCACAGUGGGAAGCGCCAUGCGGUCAUGAAGGGUGUAGGAGGGAGGCCAUGCCGUGGUCCCUAAUGCAUCAGAUUGGAGAAGGGCUAAGGAGGGGGAAGUGGGCUCUUCGGUGUUUCCGUGGACAUCUCCCAUCUGCUCACUUCCCGCCAGGGUCACUGUCCUGAACUCUUUGUGGAAGCUGGUAUUUUUCUCUUCGACUGUGAUGCCUUCUCUUGCUCGACCUUCCUGAAUCCCCUUGUCUCAUUUCCAUGGACGUCUUUGUCCUCACGGACCUUUGGUCCUUCUGCUUCAUUGCAGAUAUAAGUCCAAACAAGAUGGAAAAGGAUGCGGGGUCCAGCCCUCCCCUGCAGCCUGUCGGUGUGGAGCUGCCAGAGGUCCUGUGGCAUUUAGGUGGGAAAGCCGCUGCAGGUGCACACAAGGGGCAGGGUCUGUGAGAGCCCCAGGGGUGGCCCCAGGGCGUGUGCAAUUUCUGGAGAUUUGUCUGUGCAAACGCUUAGCGGAGGGGCAGAUAGGAAGGCCUCCUGACAGCAGGUUGGAGGGGGAAGCUGAGGGAAUGAGGUAAAAGGUGUGGUGCAGGUGGAAAUGGGCCACGAGCGCAGGGCCCCAGAGAAGGGACAGGCGUGUGUGAAGCAGGCGGGCUGCAUCCCUGCAUGGAGGUGCCAGUAAGGCCUCUCCAGGCGGGUCCCAGACUCGGCCUGUCGGGCUCGCCCGCUCUGGGCAUCUACCUGCUUCGUCCUUGCUGACUCCAGUCCCAGCAGGAGCAGGAAAGACCAGGAAGACCAGGAAGACCGGCCUGAAGCAGGUCUCCCAUUUUCUCGGGAGAAAGGACUCCUUCCGCUCCCCUCCGCUCGGACACUUGGUUUACGCCUUGUGCACACGUGUGCUGUUGUCCUGAGGAGUGCAGCCUGUAUCCCGCCACUCCCGUGAUAGAAAGCAGGAAGGCGAUUCGUCGUCCAUUAUCAGACUGGGAGGACCCUGCCUCGGGGUCAGCAGCUCCGACAGGUGGGGUCCACUCCAGCCUCCACCCCACCGGCUGGCGAGCCUGGCUAGAACGACCCCCCACCUCCGUGCACCCUCGCUAAGGUGUCUUCUUUGCUGACUCAGGAGACACCCCAGCUCUCGUGGCCCUGGACAUGUCCCUUGAGCCCCUUCCCGGGGUGCACAGAUGUGGGGAGGCUCCGGCCACCCUGUCUGGGGCAGGUCAGGAAGCAUCGAGACGUCCUUGCGUUCCGCUGCCGUUGCCUUUUCUCCUCUUACGAUUCUUUCCGACGGCAGUUGAGAUUAGUCCUGUGCCCCUGGGGCAGUGCCCGGGCUCUGUCACCUAGAUGCUAACUCCAGUGUCUUCACCCCGCUCAGUGCUCGCUGGGCUUCACCGUGUGGCUCCUUCUGGCUCACAGUCCUCUGACAGCCAGAGUCAAAGCCAGGGCUUGGGACGCCCACCCAGCCCUGGAGUCCACGUGAGAGGUGGGUCGGGCCUCAGCGAGUGACGUCGGCAUGCAGAGCCGAUUUCCUCCUGUGCGAGAGCAGGACAGCACCUGCUUCGUGAGCUGGUGGGGCCUGUGGGGCCUGUGGGGGUGAUUAUACACUAUUAACUGACAGGAAGUGUAUGAAGCAGCCGUUAGCUCACAGUGAGGACCAGGGAACGGUCCUAAAUAAAUGUCAUCGAUUUACGUUCCCGAGCGAGCUCGGGUUGCAGUCUCGGCUCUCGGUCCUGCGGGAAGCUCUUCCUUGGCUGAAUGUACUGGGCGCUUAGCGCCUUGUUUGCACCUGCGUGACCCCAGAUGAGGGACCCAUCUUUGGACCCUCUGCAUUCUCUCUGUCCACCAUACCCCCCUCUUGGGCUUUCUGCAAGCGUCGGGGCAGUUCGGAGAUGACGUGAGAUGUGCUGUUUCUCCAGGACGCGGAGGAAGAAGGUGGACGCCCAGGACCAGCCCCCUUCCUCCCUGGAGGCUGUCAGCUGGGCUGCGACAGGGCAGCCUCAGGUCAAGGGCACCAGUGGCAGCUGCAGCUAUGGGUGUGGGGUGAUGGCUGGGGGGAGCAAGUGGAAUCACACGUGUGUCCUCGGGGCUGUGGUUUGCACCUGGUCCAGAGGGCACACUCCCGGGAGAAGAGUGGGCUCUUGGAGGUUCCGGCUCAGCUCCUCGAGAGUGACCGACCUCUUGGGAAGCUGGUCUCUACCGGCCCAUCUCCUUGGCUUCGGGGCCCUCUGUACCCAGCAGGCCCCGGGUGACGUGGCCCCUGGGAGUGUGCUUGGUGUGUGUGCACGUGUGCCUGUACAUGUGGGUGUGCGAUCUCUGCCCUUGGGGCCUGGUGGUCCCCAUCCGGGUGGGGUGUUCCAGGCUGCCCUGCUGACCACUGGCUGUACCCCAGCACCUGGAACAGACCCAGCAGCCUCUCCACCAGCACUUCUGAUGGACGAACACCCCCUGGAAGCCUUUUGUUCCCUGCUUUCUGUGAAGAUCUGAAUCCUGUUUCUGCUGUUUCUGAUCAUAUUUACCUUCGAAAUUAGCCCUUGGCCGUUUGGAAGCUUCCAGGUGCUGGGGACCCUGUGUCUAAUUGCUGCUGGUGUGAGCAGUGAUGAGCAUGGCCAGAUGUGGGAGCUGAGAACCACAGUGUGAUCAGCCGUCGGGCUCUGCUGUGCGUGGCCCGGGGUGUGCAGUCUUCUUGGCACGUGGCCUGACACACCUGUCUCCCGGUGGGGCGGAGGAGGGCGGGCAGGCAUGGGAUCUUCCUGUGUCCUCUCUUACAGGGAAGACUGCUGUUCAGCAUCCCCUCUACUCACAGCUGUCCCUUGACUUCUGGGUGCACCUUGCACUCACCCUGGACCAUCAGCAUCUGAGCUGUGGUGUGCACGGGCCAUGGCAUCGCAAAGCUCAGAGGCAGUUCCACGCAGUGUCCUCCACGGAGGGCUCCCAGGACUGGGCAGACAGAGGUCCCGCCUCCCAGGGAGUCCUGCCUGGAGGUCUGCUCGGCUGCAUGCACCUGUCCACCUCCAGACGCUCGCACCAUGUCUGAGGGGAAGUCGAAUGAGAAGCUCUCUGUUAAGUACUCAGGACACUGCCAGCUCAUGGUGAGUUCCCCGUCCACAUUGGGAAGCAACUGCUGCGGAAUUGUUCUCAGCGCUGUGGAGGUGCUCCCCUGAGGUGGUGACACCAGGCCUGCAGCGUUCAGCACGACUGCCCACCUGGGGCUUUGAGCUCCACCCUCCCCUGCCCCACUUGGUCUCUUUCUGCAGCCAUUAGCCCUCCUUACUGCCCCUCAGGCUCACCGUGCAGUUCCCACCUCAGGGCCUUUGCAUGUGCUCUGCGUCCCCAGAUCUGCACUUGGCUGGCUCCUUCCCAUCAAUCAAGUGGCCCCUCCUCACACAGCCUGACCCCCGCUACCCCCACUGGAGAGCUAAAGCUCCUCCUGCACCCCAACCAGCUGUACAGUCAUCACCAUAUUUGUUCUCUUAUGCUAUAGGGUUAAUUUAAGGAACACGAGCUGGAGGAAGGCAGUCACUGACUCUGUUGCCAUAACACGGGGUAUGUGGUGGCUACUUGGUAAGCAUGUGCUGGGUACACUGAGUGAACUGAGUGAACGAAGAAAUUAUUAUUUUUUUAGAGAUCACGACCACGUUGUUGUUCAGGAAUAGCCCUGCCCAGCUCUUUUCCCAGGUUCAGUGUCCACUCUCUGUUCUGUAACAUGUACCUUUCAGUCUCAGUUGGGAACCCAGUUAGCUCUUAAUUGGACUCCAAUUUUUUUUUAAAGAUUUUAUGUAUUUGACAGAGAGAGACAGCCAGCGAGAGAGGGAACACAAGCAGGGGGAGUGGGAGAGGAAGCAGCAGGCUCCCAGCUGAGGAGCCUGAUGCGGGGCUAGAUCCCAGAAUGCCGGGAUUACGCCUUGAGCCGAAGGGAGACACUUAACGACUGAGCCACCAAGGCACCCCUGGACUCCAAUUUUAAGCAAACCAGUGACUUCACCCUUUAAAAGUAACUUUAAAGCAGCUCUAGGGUAAUGGGCAUUUGUGUCCACAGUUUAUAGAAUUCAGCUCUAAACUCUGCAGAGCUGCACUCAGAACGCUAGUGCUUAAAAAUGGCUUAUCCACACAUGUCCUUUGCUGGGUGAAAAUAGCCUCUCGGUGUCAUGUGGUCAAACUGUGUGGGUGUGCAGGGGACCUUGACUGUGUGUAGAGGACACAGGGACUCUGCCUGUGCUCAGAGCCUCUUCUCUGAGCAGGUCGGGACUGCAGGGGUGCGUCGUCGGUCUGGGGAGCACUCCUGUUCUAAUCUGGGGAGCUCCCUGAGCCGCUCUGGAAGUCAGGGACCCGCAGAUGGGGCUGUAAUAGAUUCCAGGAGGUAACUGGUCAAAUAAAUUUACUUUUUAACCCCCGCUCCCAAACAAUCCCUAGUGGAACAAUUAACACGUAGACACCGAGCUCUAAGGAAGACAGCUUCUAGAUCAUUAACAUUCUGGGGAGGGGGGCUUCUGCCAUCGAACGGCUUCGCUGCCGCACACAUUUUCUCUUGAGGCUGUUGCGACGACAGACCCCGCUUCUGGUCCUCACGUGCAGCCCCGGGAGGAAGCUCUGGCCACCUUGGGUCCAGGGGUGUCCUCAAAAAAAAGACACCCAACCUCACACGCAGUUGUGCUGAGCACAGGUCUGCCCUCUGGUGGCACUUCUGUUUGUUCCACCUGCUGACCUCCAGGGACAUAUCAGUCCUUAGUCCCCACCUCCUGAGGGUUGGGACAGGGGUUGCCAAGCCCAGAGCCUCGCUCCCUGCCACUGCGUUCAUUCCCUGCGGCAGGGUCGCAGGGACCACGAAGUCAGUGCAGAAUUACUCUCUUGAAGUUCCAGAGAUCCAAAGACUAGGCGAGUUUCAUGGGGCUAAACUCAAGGUGCCGGCAGGGCUGGUCCCUCUGGAGGCUCCUGCCCCUUCCAGCAUCUAGAGGCUGCUGGUCACCCCUUCGUCCAUAUUCCAAGCCGUCUCCUGUCUCUGCUUAUGGUGUCACAGCCCCUUCUUCUCUGUUCUGAUCUUCUCACCUCCCUUUAUGAGGACCCCCCCUCCCCGGUAAUUCAGGUGCUUAUCUUCAUCACAUCUAUGGAUGCCUCUGGCUGUGAGGUCCCACUGUCACAGGUUCUCGCCAUGAGGGAUGUGGGCACCUUUGGGGGCCCUGAUGGAGCCCAUUACACCCAUGUUCCGGUGUGAACCAUCCUACAGGUACUUCGUCCUUGGACCCAGGCUAGAGCCCCAGCUGCAUGUCACAAGAGCCUGUAGUGGGGCCCUCUCCCCAGUGUUCCCGAAAGAGGUUGGCUCGCACGGUUCAGAAGGGCCUUCUCAUGAGUGGUUUUUAGCCAAUGGCCAGUCACUGUGGCUGCAGUCCUCCCUACCCCAAGCAACCAUGAAGUGGAAAACAGA
Ailuropoda melanoleuca (giant panda) is the source of this 5624-nucleotide long non-coding RNA. RefSeq lists it as uncharacterized. The transcript has 3 exons. The record is from RefSeq and is a predicted model, not a curated record. NCBI's taxonomy places the organism in Eukaryota, Metazoa, Chordata, Mammalia, Carnivora, Ursidae.